This 91-nucleotide microRNA precursor is filed under the name Drosophila mojavensis. RNAcentral describes it as "Dmo-Mir-956-v1_pre stem-loop". Lineage: Eukaryota; Metazoa; Arthropoda; Insecta; Diptera; Drosophilidae. The record is from RNAcentral.
GUGUUUGGAAUGGUCUCGUUAGCUAACGGAUGAACAUUAACCAAAGCGCACCUUACGGCGUAGUGUAGUUUCGAGACCACUCUAAUCCAUU